AUGUGUAUGGAUCUAUGUAUGGGUGGAUGUGCAUGUGAUGUAUACAAUAAGGAUAUGUGUGUGGUUGUGUGUCCACAUGU
RNAcentral lists this microRNA precursor (80 nucleotides) under Chinchilla lanigera (long-tailed chinchilla). RNAcentral's name for it is "miRNA (ENSCLAG00000020970.1)". Lineage: Eukaryota; Metazoa; Chordata; Mammalia; Rodentia; Chinchillidae. The record is from RNAcentral.